AGCCUGAUGCAGCGAUGCCGCGUGAGUGAUGAAGGCCUUCGGGUUGUAAACCUCUUUUCCCGGGGAAGAAAAUGACGGUACCCGUAGAAAAAGCCCCGGCUAACUCCGUGCCCGCACCCGCGGUAAUACGGAGGGGGCUAGCGUUGUUCGGAAUUUCUGGGCGUAAAGGGCGUGUAGGCGGGCUUGUUAAUCUGGUGUGAAAUCCCGGGGCUCAACCCGGGAACUGCGCUCGAAACUGUGUUGCUUGAGAGCGGGAGAGGAGAGGGGAAUUCCCCGUGGGGAGGUGAAAUUCGCAUAUUUUGGGAAGAACACCCGUGGGGAAAGCGGCUUUCUGGCUCGUUUCUGACACUGAAGCGCGAAAGCGUGGGGAGCAAACAGGAAUAUAUACCCGGGUAUUCCACCCCGUAAACAAUGUGAGCCAUA
RNAcentral lists this ribosomal RNA (423 nucleotides) under uncultured Alphaproteobacteria bacterium. Its description in RNAcentral is "bacterial SSU rRNA". It matches the Rfam family "Bacterial small subunit ribosomal RNA", at positions 380 to 820 of the family's 1533-position model. The record is from RNAcentral. Lineage: Bacteria; Pseudomonadati; Pseudomonadota; Alphaproteobacteria.